Molecule: ribosomal RNA, 497 nt
Filed under: uncultured bacterium
Lineage: Bacteria
Description: partial 16S ribosomal RNA
Rfam family: Bacterial small subunit ribosomal RNA
Source: RNAcentral
GAUCAAUGCCGGUCCAGUGUAUAAUACAAACAAGUCGGGCGAACAGACGAGGAGCUUGCUCCUCUGACGUUAGCGGCGGACGGGUGAGUAACACGUGGAUAACCGACAUAUAAGACUGGGCUAACUUCGGGAAACCGGAGCUAAAACCGGGUAAUAUAUUGAACCGCAUGGUUCCAUAGUGAAAGACGGUCUUGCUAUCACUCAUAGAUGGAUCCGCGCCGCAUUAGCUAGUUGGUCCGGUAACGGCUUACCACGGCAACGAUGCGUAGCCGACCUGAGAGGGUGCACGGCCACGCUGGAUCUGAGACACGGUCCAGACUCCUACGGGAUGCAGCAGUAGGGAAUCUACCGCAAUGCGCGAAAGCCUGACGUAGCAACGCCGCGUGAGUGAUGAAGGUCUUCGCAUCGUAAAACUCUGUUAUUAGCGAAGAACGAAUGUGUAAGUAACUAUGCACGUCUUCACGGUACCUAAUCAGAAAGGCACGGCUACCUACUUG